Molecule: non-coding RNA, 27 nt
Filed under: Mus musculus (house mouse)
Lineage: Eukaryota; Metazoa; Chordata; Mammalia; Rodentia; Muridae
Source: RNAcentral
UCCCAAGUAAGUAGAGGUGGCUUAGAC